UUGAAAGGGAAACGAUUGAAGUCAGUCAUACCAACGGGAAAUCAACCUUUUGAGCUCGGUCUCGUGGGUUUUGAAGAGUUUCAAAGCCUUCGGAUUCGCGGGAUUGGGAUCUCUUGGUGUACUUUUUCGUACGGUUAGUCAACAUCGGUUUUGAAUGUCAUAAAAUGACUGAAGGAAUGUAGCUUCGACCUUGUAUUGAAGUGUUAUAGCCUUUGGUAGAUGUGAUGUUUGAGACCGAGGAUUGCAACGGAUACCCUUCAGGGCUAUUCGUCUGAUCUCGGAUCCGUUGCCUUGAUGUUGAAAGCUUGCUUAUGAUGUUAGGGUAUUACGGUCAAAAGGUUAGAACGAAUUAGAUUCGUUAAGGAUGUUGACGUA
This 375-nucleotide ribosomal RNA is filed under the name Glomus sp. acp6. Its description in RNAcentral is "eukaryotic LSU rRNA". The record is from RNAcentral. Lineage: Eukaryota; Fungi; Glomeromycota; Glomeromycetes; Glomerales; Glomeraceae.